RNAcentral lists this ribosomal RNA (495 nucleotides) under uncultured bacterium. Its description in RNAcentral is "partial 16S ribosomal RNA". It matches the Rfam family "Bacterial small subunit ribosomal RNA", at positions 29 to 507 of the family's 1533-position model. The record is from RNAcentral.
AUGAACGCUGGCGGCGUGCCUCAUACAUGCCAGUCGCGCGAACAGACGAGGAGCUUGCUCCUCUGACGUUAGCGGCGGACGGGUGAGUAACACGUGGAUAACCUACCUAUAAGACUGGGAUAACUUCGGGAAACCGGAGCUAAUACCGGAUAAUAUAUUGAACCGCAUGGUUCAAUAGUGAAAGACGGUUUUGCUGUCACUUAUAGAUGGAUCCGCGCCGCAUUAGCUAGUUGGUAAGGUAACGGCUUACCAAGGCGACGAUGCGUAGCCGACCUGAGAGGGUGAUCGGCCACACUGGAACUGAGACACGGUCCAGACUCCUACGGGAGGCAGCAGUAGGGAAUCUUCCGCAAUGGGCGAAAGCCUGACGGAGCAACGCCGCGUGAGUGAUGAAGGUCUUCGGAUCGUAAAACUCUGUUAUUAGGAAGAACAAAUGUGUAAGUAACUAUGCACGUCUUGACGGUACCUAAUCAGAAAGCCACGGCUAACUACGUG